Molecule: ribosomal RNA, 458 nt
Filed under: uncultured bacterium
Lineage: Bacteria
Description: bacterial SSU rRNA
Rfam family: Bacterial small subunit ribosomal RNA
Source: RNAcentral
CUACGGGAGGCAGCAGUGAGGAAUAUUGGUCAAUGGGUGCAAACCUGAACCAGCCAUGCCGCGUGAAGGAAUAAGGUCCUAUGGAUUGUAAACUUCUUUUAUACGGAAAAAAACCCUUCGACGUGUCGGAGGCUGAUGGUACCGUAAGAAUAAGGAUCGGCUAACUCCGUGCCAGCAGCCGCGGUAAUACGGAGGAUCCAAGCGUUAUCCGGAUUCACUGGGUUUAAAGGGUGUGUAGGCGGGGUAUUAAGUCAGUGGUGAAAGCCUACAGCUUAACUGUAGAACUGCCAUUGAAACUGAUAUUCUUGAGUACAAUUGAGGUAGGCGGAAUGUGUGGUGUAGCGGUGAAAUGCUUAGAGAUCACACAGAACACCGAUUGCGAAGGCAGCUUGCUAAAUUGUAACUGACGCUGAGACACGAAAGCGUGGGGAUCAAACAGGAUUAGAUACCCUGGUAGC